RNAcentral lists this ribosomal RNA (208 nucleotides) under uncultured bacterium. Its description in RNAcentral is "partial 16S ribosomal RNA". It matches the Rfam family "Bacterial small subunit ribosomal RNA", at positions 568 to 774 of the family's 1533-position model. The record is from RNAcentral.
CUCGUAGGUGGUUUGUCGCGUCGUCUGUGAAAUUCCGGGGCUUAACUCCGGGCGUGCAGGCGAUACGGGCAUAACUUGAGUACUGUAGGGGUAACUGGAAUUCCUGGUGUAGCGGUGAAAUGCGCAGAUAUCAGGAGGAACACCGAUGGUGAAGGCAGGUUACUGGGCAGUUACUGACGCUGAGGAGCGAAAGCAUGGGUAGCGAAUA